This 472-nucleotide ribosomal RNA is filed under the name uncultured bacterium. RNAcentral describes it as "bacterial SSU rRNA". It matches the Rfam family "Bacterial small subunit ribosomal RNA", at positions 355 to 825 of the family's 1533-position model. The record is from RNAcentral.
UCGGGAAUUUUGGGCAAUGGGGGCAACCCUGAUCCAGCAAUGCCGCGUGAGUGAAGAAGGCCUUCGGGUUGUAAAGCUCUUUUGUCAGGGAAGAAACGGUAGUAGCGAAUAACUAUUACUAAUGACGGUACCUGAAGAAUAAGCACCGGCUAACUACGUGCCAGCAGCCGCGGUAAUACGUAGGGUGCAAGCGUUAAUCGGAAUUACUGGGCGUAAAGCGUGCGCAGGCGGUUGUGUAAGUCAGAUGUGAAAUCCCCGGGCUCAACCUGGGAAUUGCAUUUGAGACUGCACGGCUAGAGUGUGUCAGAGGGGGGUAGAAUUCCACGUGUAGCAGUGAAAUGCGUAGAUAUGUGGAGGAAUACCGAUGGCGAAGGCAGCCCCCUGGGAUAACACUGACGCUCAUGCACGAAAGCGUGGGGAGCAAACAGGAUUAGAUACCCCAGUAGUCCCUGAGCGGGCUGGCAAGGCGCAU